RNAcentral lists this long non-coding RNA (297 nucleotides) under Phoenix dactylifera (date palm). RNAcentral describes it as "long non-coding RNA (PDAC_LNC018067)". Lineage: Eukaryota; Viridiplantae; Streptophyta; Magnoliopsida; Arecales; Arecaceae. The record is from RNAcentral.
AGGGUCAGAAUCAGGUAUGGCUUGAGUUUGUUCUGGGACUGGUCGGUCAAUAACUUUUCCACUUCGCAAAGUUAUUAUACUCUUCGCUUGUUCUUUAUGUGAAGUUGAAGAUGAUGCAUUGCUACCGCCGUAGAUUUGAGGAUUAGGUUGUGGUUGAGCUGGUAGCUUACCCUUCUCUUGAGCACUUAAAGCAGUGGUCAGCGUUGUCAGUUGAUUUCUUAAGUCAUCAUUGAUUUUAGCUUGACCUUGCAUGAAAGAUUGCAAAGUUUCUUCGAGACUGGGUUUUUGAGGGGGUGC